CGCCUGCCGGCACCUUCUCCCCGCAAAGCGGGGAGAAGGGACAAGCGGCAUGCACUCAGUCCCGAUGAACUCGAGCGUGCACCGCGAGUCUCCUUCGCCCCGCUUGCGGGGAGAAGGUGCCGGCAGGCGGAUGAGGGGCUGUCGCGCGGUCGUUCACUCUUUCAAUAAGUCGGUGCUAUCUGCAAUUGCGGCAGCGGCCGCGGGGCGGUCUUCGUCAGGUCGGGGCCUUCACCGCUCCAUUUCUCUCCCUCACCGAUCAGCUUUUCGAGAAGCCGCGCCGCCUCUUCGCGCUCCGCCUUGCUUGCGAAGCGGUAAGAGGGCGGCUUCGACGUGGCGUCGUGGGCGAGCGCAUAGGCGGGCUCGUAAUCGGGGAUUUUCGGCCGGUAGGCGUCGCUCGCGGCAAUGUCGAUGGUGUAGCGCUGGAGCGCCGAGGCGAGAUUGCGCCACCGGAUCCAGUAAUGGUUCUCGAAGGAGAACCGGGCGAAUGCCUCGCCGGCGGCCGUGCCUUUUUUCGAGACGGCCGCGAGGACCUCCUUCGACAUGGCGAGGUUCAGGCC
RNAcentral lists this small RNA (557 nucleotides) under Sinorhizobium meliloti 2011. RNAcentral describes it as "putative ncRNA". Lineage: Bacteria; Pseudomonadati; Pseudomonadota; Alphaproteobacteria; Hyphomicrobiales; Rhizobiaceae. The record is from RNAcentral.